Small nucleolar RNA from Ziziphus jujuba (common jujube), 81 nucleotides. RefSeq annotates it as small nucleolar RNA R16. NCBI's taxonomy places the organism in Eukaryota, Viridiplantae, Streptophyta, Magnoliopsida, Rosales, Rhamnaceae. The transcript has a single exon. The record is from RefSeq and is a predicted model, not a curated record.
GAUGGCAAGCGAUGAUAAUUUGUUUAUUCGCUCUGAUGAACAGUGUUGACUACAAAACUCCGCUUAUUAUCUGAUGCCAUC